Molecule: ribosomal RNA, 506 nt
Filed under: uncultured bacterium
Lineage: Bacteria
Description: partial 16S ribosomal RNA
Rfam family: Bacterial small subunit ribosomal RNA
Source: RNAcentral
GACGAACGCUGGCGGCGGGCCUAACACAUGCAAGUCGAGCGGCAGCGGAAAGUAGCUUGCUACUUUGCCGGCGAGCGGCGGACGGGUGAGUAAUGUCUGGGAAACUGCCUGAUGGAGGGGGAUAACUACUGGAAACGGUAGCUAAUACCGCAUAACGUCGCAAGACCAAAGUGGGGGACCUUCGGGCCUCAUGCCAUCAGAUGUGCCCAGAUGGGAUUAGCUAGUAGGUGGGGUAACGGCUCACCUAGGCGACGAUCCCUAGCUGGUCUGAGAGGAUGACCAGCCACACUGGAACUGAGACACGGUCCAGACUCCUACGGGAGGCAGCAGUGGGGAAUAUUGCACAAUGGGCGCAAGCCUGAUGCAGCCAUGCCGCGUGUGUGAGGAAGGCCUUCGGGUUGUAAAGCACUUUCAGCGGGGAGGAAGGCGUUAAGGUUAAUAACCUUGGCAAUUGACGUUACCCGCAGAAGAAGCACCGGCUAACUCCGUGCCAGCCGCCGCCGUAA